GACGACGACUCCUACGGGAGGCAGCAGUGGGGAAUAUUGCACAAUGGGCGCAAGCCUGAUGCAGCCAUGCCGCGUGUAUGAAGAAGGCCUUCGGGUUGUAAAGUACUUUCAGCAGUGAGGAAGGUGGGUAUGUUAAUAGCAUACUCAUUUGACGUUAGCUGCAGAAGAAGCACCGGCUAACUCCGUGCCAGCAGCCGCGGUAAUACGGAGGGUGCGAGCGUUAAUCGGAAUUACUGGGCGUAAAGCGCAUGCAGGUGGUUUGUUAAGUCAGAUGUGAAAGCCCGGGGCUCAACCUCGGAAUUGCAUUUGAAACUGGCAAACUAGAGUACUGUAGAGGGGGUAGAAUUUCAGGUGUAGCGGUGAAAUGCGUAGAGAUCUGAAGGAAUACCGGUGGCGAAGGCGGCCCCUGGACAGAUACUGACACUCAGAUGCGAAAGCGUGGGGAGCAAACAGGAUUAGAUACCCUGGUAG
RNAcentral lists this ribosomal RNA (471 nucleotides) under uncultured bacterium. Its description in RNAcentral is "bacterial SSU rRNA". It matches the Rfam family "Bacterial small subunit ribosomal RNA", at positions 328 to 793 of the family's 1533-position model. The record is from RNAcentral.